Molecule: long non-coding RNA, 774 nt
Organism: Gadus morhua (Atlantic cod)
Lineage: Eukaryota; Metazoa; Chordata; Actinopteri; Gadiformes; Gadidae
Source: Ensembl
ACCGGGGGGCGUCUGAAGAACAGGGGGCAGCAGACCCACAGGGGGCGUCUGACCACUAGGGGGUCUGCCCACCAGGGGGCAGCGCUGGGGCGGCGGAAGUCAAGAUGGUGGAGCUCGGUUUUUGUUAUUUCUAGUUUUUUAUGUCUUUAUUUGUAGUUUUUUUACUCAUUUGGGUUUGUUGUUUUCUGUACGCAAUGACCUAAAGACAGACCACAGCUGCUGUUCAUCAACAUGCUCAGACACGCAGUGACGACACACACACACACACACACACACACACACACACACACACACACACACACACACACACACACACACACACACACACACACACACACACACACACAAUACAAUACACACACCACAAACACACACACAUGCAAAGUCACAAUACAAACCACAGACACACACAGACACACAAUACAAUACACCCCACACACACACACACACACACGCGCAAACUCACAAUACACACACACACACACACACACACACACACACACACACACACACACACACACACACACACACACACACACACACACACACAGGCACAGGCACAGGCACAGUGAGAGAAGGGCUUCAGUCCAGCUCGGGGUCUAUCUUAACCAUGUGUUGUACAUUGUGUUGCACAUGUGCUGUAUUAUACUUCCGCCUCAUUUUCUUUAUACUCUCCACCGUCCUGCUCGUUUCAGCGUACACAUGUUACACUGUGGCGGUCAGCCAGUGCUUAAUUUGUCAAGUGGGAUCUCCCGGAGCGCUGAGGACGAGUAG